CCUACGGGUGGCAGCAGUAGGGAAUAUUGCUCAAUGGGGGAAACCCUGAUGCAGCAACACCGCGUGGAUGAUGAAGGUUUUAGGAUUGUAAACUCCUUUUGUUAGAGAAGAUUAUGACGAUAUCUAACGCAUAAGCACUGGCUAAAUCCGUGCCAGCAGCCGCGGUCAUACGGAGGGUGCAAGCGUUACUCGGAAUCACUGGGCGUAAAGAGUGCGUAGGCGGGUGAAUAAGUCAGAUGUGAAAUCCUGUAGCUUAACUAGAGAAUUGCAUUUGAAACUGGUACUCUGGAGUGUGGGAGAGGUAGGUAGAAUUCUAGGUGUAGCGGUAAAAUGCGUAGAGAUGUAGAGGAAUACUCAUGGCGAAGGCGACCUGCUGGACCAAUACUGACGCUGAGGUACGAAAGCGUGGGGAGCAAACAGGAUUAGAUACCCGUGUAGUC
Molecule: ribosomal RNA, 440 nt
Filed under: uncultured bacterium
Lineage: Bacteria
Description: partial 16S ribosomal RNA
Rfam family: Bacterial small subunit ribosomal RNA
Source: RNAcentral